AAUCAUGGCUCAGGACGAACGCUGGCGGCGUGCCUAACACAUGCAAGUCGAACGGAAGCAAAGAUUUCGGUUUUUGCUUUAGUGGCGAACGGGUGAGUAACGCGUGAGGAACCUGCCUUUCAGUGGGGGACAACAGUUGGAAACGACUGCUAAUACCGCAUAAUGCUUUUUGAUGGCAUCAUUGAAAAGCCAAAGAUUUAUUGCUGAAAGAUGGCCUCGCGUCUGAUUAGCUGGUUGGUGGGGUAACGG
This 249-nucleotide ribosomal RNA is filed under the name uncultured bacterium. RNAcentral's name for it is "partial 16S ribosomal RNA". It matches the Rfam family "Bacterial small subunit ribosomal RNA", at positions 15 to 263 of the family's 1533-position model. The record is from RNAcentral.